The submitters of this non-coding RNA (92 nucleotides) gave its source as unclassified sequences. The record is from Rfam.
GGCUCGGGAGCGCACUGUUGGGAAGGUGCGCAAGUAUGGAGCCCACACCCGUUUCGCAAGCGGCCGGCGGCUGAGGCCCGACAGCCCGCCCG